AAAGAAAGAGGGAGGAAGGUAGAACACAUGCAAGUCGAACGAGACCUUCGGGUCUAGUGGCGCACGGGUGCGUAACGCGUGGGAACCUGCCCUUAGGUUCGGAAUAACUCCCCGAAAGGGGUGCUAAUACCGGAUAAUGUCUUCGGACCAAAGAUUUAUCGCCUUUGGAUGGGCCCGCGUUGGAUUAGCUAGUUGGUAGGGUAAAAGCCUACCAAGGCGACGAUCCAUAGCUGGUCUGAGAGGAUGAUCAGCCACACUGGGACUGAGACACGGCCCAGACUCCUACGGGAGGCAGCAGUGGGGAAUAUUGGACAAUGGGCGAAAGCCUGAUCCAGCAAUGCCGCGUGAGUGAUGAAGGCCUUAGGGUUGUAAAGCUCUUUUAACCGGGAUGAUAAUGACAGUACCGGGAGAAUAAGCUCCGGCUAACUCCGUG
RNAcentral lists this ribosomal RNA (433 nucleotides) under uncultured bacterium. RNAcentral describes it as "partial 16S ribosomal RNA". It matches the Rfam family "Bacterial small subunit ribosomal RNA", at positions 31 to 507 of the family's 1533-position model. The record is from RNAcentral.